UUUUUUCUUUUUCUUUUUCUUUUUCUUUUUCUUUUUCUUCUUGGCUGCACUCACAGCAUGUGGAAGUUCCUGGGCCAGGGAUCAAAUCUGCACCACAGAUCCAACCUGAGCUGAAGCACUAACAACACCAGAUCCUUAACCUCUUGGGCCACAAGGGAACUUGGGUUUCCCUUACAUGCAGCUCCAACACUCUUACUGAGCACAGUAUCUGCCUGCAUAGGAAGAGGUACAGUGAACUGUCACCACAAUGAAGAGGACAAAAACGGUCUUAAGCUCCUUCACCAUCACCCCUUUCCCUCUCAGUACCCAGUCUCGCUCCUUUCCUUCUGGCCUGGGGAGCAGGCUGCUGGCUGUGUUGGCUUCCCAUGUGCAAGAAGGGGCUGGGGUGAAGGAUAUAGUGACAGACAGGCCAAACACCCAGGGCCCACCAGUUAGCAUGGGAGCUGCAGCAGCCCUGCCAAGGUCCUCAGCCUGCCUACCAAGAGUGAUGUGGAUUGGCUGCCUGGUAGAACGGCCAGACACUGGAUUCCUGGUCUGAAUCCUGUUACUAUAAUUGUGUGACUCCAUUACUUUAUUUUUCUGGGCUUCUGUUUCCUUGGCUAUAAAAGUGGAACCAGAACAGCUCCUGUUUCUCAGAGAAGCUGUAAGGACUAAUUGAGGAAAAAAAAUUAAUUAUAAACAUAGGAUUCAUCGUAUGCUUGACAUAUUCCAGGCACCAUUUUAACCACUUUACAAACUAUUAGUCCAAUUGACGUCCACAGUAAGUCAAGGAGAUAGGUACUAUUAUUAUUUCACUUUACAGAUGAAGAAACUGAGGCAUAGAAAGGUUAAUAACUUGCCCAGAGUCUCAAAAACUAGUAAGGGGUAGAACUGGGAUUUGAAUCCAGGUAUUCCAACCUCAGUCUGCAUCCGUAGAGGUUCAGGCAGGAAAGAAACACUGAUGUCAGAGUUUAAGAGAAGGAACCUGGAGUUCCCGUCGUGGCGCAGUGGUUAACGAAUCCGACUAGGAACCAUGAGGUUGCGGGUUCGAUCCCUGCCCUUGCUCAGUGGGUUAACGAUCCGGCGUUGCUGUGAGCUGUGGUGUAGGUUGCAGACGCGGCUCGGAUCCCACGUUGCUGUGGCUCUGGUGUAGGCUGGUGGCUACAGUUCCGAUUCAACCCCUAGCCUGGGAACCUCCGUAUGCCGCGGGAGCUGCCCAAGAAAUACCAAAAAAAAAAAGAAAAAAAGAGAGAAGGAACGUAAUACAGGCACAUGGUUAGAAAGGGGCUCGAAAACUGAGGGAAGAUGAACAACUGUAGAUGAACCAUCUCCAGAGAUGAAGGGAUGAGUGGGUGUCACUGAAGCCCAAGAAGCGCCUUGGCCAGCUGGUAGGAGCUGGGACACAGCAAGAAGGGGCCAUUCUCUGUAGCCGCUGCCAGAAGCUGCAAAAGUGGUAGUGUGGGGGGGUACGUCGCCACUUCUCCCCAGCCUCGGCUCUAAUCCAUCAGUACCUUCCAUUGGCUGAAUUUACUAGGAAGCCAGCGGACAGGCGAGCCUGGGAAAUGUAAUUGAGCCCCCAGAUGUGAGCCCAGCAAGGGAAGGACAGGGAAUGGGGCUGAGAACAAACAGUAAAUGACUUGCAUAUCCACCGUGCCAUACAGCCUCGUCAUCAAAAUGCAGGCACAUAAGGGCAACUGUGCCCAUAAAUGGCAAUUAUGGGGACAAGAAUUUAGGUCUCUGACUCCUGGUUCAGUGAUGUAUCCAGUACAGGAGUAGAAACCAGCAGUUACGGGUGCCCUAUGACACUGAGGAGCAGAGCAGAGCAGGGAGCUAGUGGGGCUCCUGAUGGUGCCUCCUCCUCUUAGUCUUUGCAUAUCUGGAAGCUUCUACAGAUGGCUCUCCACACAUCUGCCAGAAGAAGCAAGCAUUGUUUUUCUCUUUAAAGGGAGUGAGAGCAGCCUGAAUCUUCCCAGCAACUGCUUUUGGAUCUGAGAGAAACAGAUGCAGCUGCUGCUGCAAAUUAGAAGGCAAAUAAAUGGGGUGAGGUGCCCCACACCCUCCUUUUGCAAAGACCAUCAUCUCUGUCUCUGCAGAGUCCCCUCACUCCCCUCAUCCCUGCAGGCCCCAUUGUAUAACCUCAGUGAGUAGCUGGGAAGCAUCUGCCACGUGCUGCCCUGGAAGCAGGCAGGAUCCCACAGAUGACAGCAUGAGCAAGAGCAGAAGGUCCAGGCCAGAGCACAAGAGACAUGGAGUCUGAGCCUGUCCUGCCAGGACAGAGUAGAGAUGGUCAUGGGAGCCCUUCUCUUUGACCAGAAUUCUGCCUCUAGAGAUUUAUCAGAGAUAAAUCUUACUCAAGGGCAUAAAGCUUUCUGGACAAGGCUAUUCCCUGCAGGGUGGGUUACACUUCUCAGAAUACUAGGGGGAAAAUGUAGCCCAUCAGAGAUGAUUUGAUUAAGCAAAUAAUGAUGUCCCUGAACAAUGGAAUGUUCUGUGCACCUACAAGGAAUGAAAUGUCUACAUGAGCUGAAAUGGGCUGAUCUUCAAGACAGACUGUCAAGCGAAACAUUCAAGGGACAGAACUGUGUGUCCAGUGUGCUCACGUCUGGGGGAGGGGCAGGGAAGACAUGUUUUCCUAUAUUUAUACAAGCACCUCUUGCUAUCCAGAUCCAUUUGGUUUCUGGACUCAGAGAGCAGGGAUUCAAAGCAAGAGAUGCCACAUUAUUGGAAACUGGGACUCCUGUAUUUCAUUUCCGGCAGCAAAUGGCAAGAGUCCAACAGUUCAUCUAGAGGCUACCUGAACCCAUUUUGCUGCGGAACUCGAACAGUGUUUGGAUAACCAGGGUACACAGUAAGGUUGUCUGUGUAAAUACGAGUGUCAGGCCUGUGUAUGUGUGGGCUCUCUGGGAAGAUAUACAGGGAACUGAUUAGCAGUGGGUGCUGCUGGGGAGGGUAAUUCAGUCCUGAUGGAUGGGGCAGAAGGGAGACUUAUUUUUCAGUUUACCUAUAUAUUGCGAUGGCUUUAACAUAAUGGCCCCCUGGAGUUCCCUGGUGGCCUAGUGGGUUAAGGAUCCAUUCAGGAUUGUCACUGCUAUGGCCCAGGUCACUGCUGUGGUGCAGGUUCAAUCCCUGGCCCAGGAUUGGGUACAGCCAAAAACAAAACAAAACAAAGCAAAAAACACCCACAGCCCCCAAAUUCUUUGAGGGGUGGGGUCAAUGUCUCAUCCUGUUCCAUAUGAGCCGGUUUGUAUCUGCUUAGACUGUGAAGAAUGAUGGAAGUGAUACUGUGUGACUUUCAAGGCUAAGUCAUAAAAGGUCAUCCAGGAGUUCCCGUUGUGGUGCAGCAGAAACAAAUCUGACUAGUAACCAUGAUGUUGCAGAUUCGAUCCUUGGCCUCGCUCAGUGAGUUAAUGAUCUGGCGUUGUCAUGAGCUGUGGUGUAGGUCACAGACGUGGCUCGGAUCAAGCAUUGCUGUGGCUGGGGUGCAGACCGGUGGCUGUAGCUCCCAUUAGACUCCUAGCCUGGGAACCUCCAUAUGCCACAGGUGUGGCCCUAAAAAGCAAAAUAAAUAAAUAAAUAAAUAAAUAAAAAGUGAUGCAGCUACAUCUGGGACACUUUCCUCUCAUUCUCCAGCCACCGCUGGGAGAAGUCCAAGCCACUUGGAGGGGCCCUGUAUGGGCGCUGCGGUCCACAGAACCACCUGACCUCCAGCUCCAGCUGACAUGAGGUCUCUUGGAAGUUCAGCCCCAGUCGAGCAUUCAGAUGACUGCACCCUCAGCUGCCAUGUGACCACAACAACUUCAGAGACCCUAAGUGAGAACCACCCAUGUGAACCAAAUCAGCACAUAGAAGAGACAAUAAAACAUUGCAAGAGACAAUAACACACUGUUAUUUCAAGCCCCUGAGUUUGGGGGUAGUUGUGUGUGUGUGCAUGGGUGUGAAUAUUAACUAGACUACAUUGUGUGUGUGUGUGUGUAUUUUUUUCUUGGCUGCUCUUAUGGCAUGUGGAAGUUCCCAGGCCAGGGAUCGAACCCGUGCUGUAGUUGCAGCCUGAGCCACAGCUGCAUCAAUGCUGGAUCCCUAACCCACUGUGCCACAAGGGCACUUCCUAGAACACACAUUAUGAACAUAGAUCACAUAUAUUACCUACUCAAAAUUAGCAAUAUCUUCCUUGUAACCAUACAGGGAUGGUGCUAAAUGUAAAAUGUGCAGUAUCUCAUUUAUUUCUCACAAGUUCACUGUAGUCAUCUCCGUUUCAGAGAUGGGAAAACUGAAGCUCUGAGGGGUUCUUUGGUUACUGCCCAAGAUCACCCCUCACAAAAGGCAGCCCCGGGAUAUGAAACCGGGAGGCCUCUCUGGCCCAGGGCUAGCCCCUGGGAACCUGCUCUCGCUCCCUGCCCCCCGUGGGCCUCACCUUCCCCCAUGAGGAGUAGGGGAACAGGGGAGGAGUGGGAACUCACAGCCCACAGGGGCCUGAUCAGUAACACAGAGGGGAGAAGUGGGCGUGGUGGGCUCAGCCCUGGGAAAGCCUGCUCAGCGUUGCCAGAUUGUUAGAUUUUUAAAUAGAAUCCAGAAAUCAGAUUUUCAUGUGCAAUCCAUUCCUGUUUUAACACUGGCAACUGGAUUUUUUUUUUUUUUUUUUUUUUUCAUGUGUAGACUGAAAAGCAAAACAAAAACAAGAGCCUGUGGAUUUGCCUCUCUGGACAAGAAGAUCUCCAAGGAGUCUUCGGCGCAGACAUCCUGACUUUCCACAGAGCCUCUCCAGGGAGACAGCGCAAUUCCAAUCUCAAGAGGCUCAAUCUGAGGAAGGAGAGGGAAGGAUGAAGACGAGAGGCCCCAGCUUCUCCCGCAGCUCCCCUCCCCGCAGGGAGGGGGACACAGCGGGUGCCGGGAAGCCGGGCCACAGGGAGCCACAGCAGUGCUGGAGAGCAGCUGAGCCUGCCGUCAAUCAGCCACCAUGGGCUGCCCGCCUUCCCAGAGCUGUCUGUCCACUCCCUGGGGCUGCUGGAGGCAGGCGGGGCACCAGGGAGAGACUGGAUUUCCGCUGCUGCGGGCACCACCCCCGCCCAUACCGGCCCUCUUCUCCACCUCCCUGCUCACCCCACCGCUUUUCCAGUGGGAACCCUGCCCCUGCCUCCUCCCCUGAUCGACCCUCCUUAGCAGAGGGGAUUGAUCUAGUCCUCAGCUGUCUCUUGGGGCCUCUGCCCCCACCCCCCACCCCACAGUGUCUUCCCCACUCCCUCCUCAGCCUGCGGCCUGUUCCAUCUUCACUGACUUGUCUUCCUCUGAGAUCCAGCCAGGCAGAGCACAGCGGCGUGAUUGAUGAGCUAGGGAGCUCUGGCUGGCAGGCCGGUGGGCAGCCAGCCAGAGCCAUGGCUCUCACAAGAUAGCAGAGCUGCCCCCGGGAGAGCCCCCAGCUACCAAGAUUCUCCCUGGGGUCACCCCUCUGCCCAGACUGACAUGGCAGCCACUCUGUCCAGAGCAGAUAACCCCAAGGGCCACUGGGUACCAUACCUGGCACGCAACGGUCCUUCAUUUGAUGAGAGAGCUCUGUUCUCUCUCCAUUCCAAAAACAGAGACCCAAGAAAAUAAAGGCAGUGAACGCCUUAAAGCUGGAAACAUUGUCAUUCAGCCAUGCCACUGAGUCCAGGUGUCUGUAAUUUGUUCAUUCAUUCAUUCCUGCAACAUGAGGGUUUGCUCUGAGGAUCACCACUUCAUUGUAAUUCUAGUUGUGGUCUCGAGGGGCAGACUGGUUUGAAUUCAGGCUCCAUCGCUUCCUGGCUACAUGACCUUGAGCAUGUCACAUCACCUCUCUAGGCUGCAGCUUCUUUCUCGUGGUUACUGCUGUGAGAUUGUCAGAUAACACACGUAAAGUUUUUAGGACAGGGCCUGGCAGAUAAAAGAGAUCCAGAAAUGUUCUCAUUCAACAAGUAACUGAGGGCCUACCACGUGCCAGGUUCAGGGGCUACAGCUCCAGAGCCAGGCAGAUAAGAUCCCUGCUCUCACGUAGCCUGCCUUGGAGAGAGGGAAGACUGACAGAAAACACCUAACUGAGCAGACAAACAGGAAAGAGCAGGAGAGGUAACAGGUCACAGGAUGGUGAGUGGUGGCCAGGAGCCAUGGGGGGUGGGGCGAGGGUAGGCCUGUGGACCCCUCCAAGGAGGUGAUACUGGAGUAGAGUUGGGAUGAGAGCACAGCCAGGUGAAAAUCUGGGGAAAUAGCUUUUUAGGUAGAGGGAAGAGCACAUGGGAAGGUUCUGAGGCAGGCAUAAACAUUGGAAUAUGUAAGAAACCAAAAAAGAAGAGGGAGGGGCCAGCGUGGCUAGAAGAGCAAAACAGAAAGCAUAGGAGAUGUACU
This 6333-nucleotide long non-coding RNA is filed under the name Sus scrofa (pig). RNAcentral describes it as "lncRNA (ENSSSCG00060018640.1)". The record is from RNAcentral. Lineage: Eukaryota; Metazoa; Chordata; Mammalia; Artiodactyla; Suidae.